RNAcentral lists this ribosomal RNA (255 nucleotides) under uncultured bacterium. RNAcentral describes it as "partial 16S ribosomal RNA". It matches the Rfam family "Bacterial small subunit ribosomal RNA", at positions 57 to 305 of the family's 1533-position model. The record is from RNAcentral.
GCAAGUCGAACGAGAACGGAUUUAAGUUUACUUAAAUUGUCAGCUAAGUGGCGCACGGGUGAGUAAUAUAUAGGUAACGUGCCCUAGAGAAGAGGAUAACAUUUGGAAACGAAUGCUAAUACUCUAUAUGCCUUUAAGACAAAAGUCUGCAAGGGAAAUAUUUAUAGCUCUAGGAUCGGCCUGUACGGUAUCAGCUAGUUGGUGAGGUAAUGGCUCACCAAGGCAAUGACACCUAACUGGUUUGAGAGGAUGAUC